AAGGAUUUAAGUUAAAUAAACUAAUAACCUUCAAAGUUAUAUUUAAAGAUUAAUUCUUUAAGCCUUA
This 67-nucleotide transfer RNA is filed under the name Cryptophyllium tibetense. Its description in RNAcentral is "Phyllium tibetense tRNA-Trp". Lineage: Eukaryota; Metazoa; Arthropoda; Insecta; Phasmatodea; Phylliidae. The record is from RNAcentral.